UAAGUGGAACUCCAUGUGUAGCGGUGGAAUGCGUAGAUAUAUGGAAGAACACCAGUGGCGAAGGCGGCUUACUGGACUGUAACUGACGUUGAGGCUCGAAAGUGUGGGUAGCAAACAGGAUUAGAUACCNUGGUAGUCCACACCGUAAACGAUGAACACUAGGUGUUAGGAGGUUUCCGCCUCUUAGUGCCGAAGCUAACGCAUUAAGUGUUCCGCCUGGGGAGUACGACCGCAAGGUUGAAACUCAAAGGAAUUGACGGGGACCCGCACAAGCGGUGGAGCAUGUGGUUUAAUUCGAAGCAACGCGAAGAACCUUACCAGGUCUUGACAUCCUUUGAAGCUUUUAGAGAUAGAAGUGUUCUCUUCGGAGACAAAGUGACAGGUGGUGCAUGGUCGUCGUCAGCUCGUGUCGUGAGAUGUUGGGUUAAGUCCCGCAACGAGCGCAACCCUUAUUGUUAGUUGCCAGCAUUCAGAUGGGCACUCUAGCGAGACUGCCGGUGACAAACCGGAGGAAGGCGGGGACGACGUCAGAUCAUCAUGCCCCUUAUGACCUGGGCUACACACGUGCUACAAUGGCGUAUACAACGAGUUGCCAACCCGCGAGGGUGAGCUAAUCUCUUAAAGUACGUCUCAGUUCGGAUUGUAGUCUGCAACUCGACUACAUGAAGUCGGAAUCGCUAGUAAUCGCGGAUCAGCACGCCGCGGUGAAUACGUUCCCGGGUCUUGUACACACCGCCCGUCACACCAUGGGAGUUUGUAAUGCCCAAAGCCGGUGGCCUAACCUUUUAGGAAGGAGCCGUCUAAGGCAGGACAGAUGACUGGGGUGAAGUCGUAACAAGGUAGCCGUAGGAGAACCUGCGGCUGGAUC
This 868-nucleotide ribosomal RNA is filed under the name uncultured bacterium. RNAcentral's name for it is "bacterial SSU rRNA". It matches the Rfam family "Bacterial small subunit ribosomal RNA", at positions 658 to 1524 of the family's 1533-position model. The record is from RNAcentral.